Molecule: transfer RNA, 73 nt
Filed under: Agrococcus jenensis
Lineage: Bacteria; Bacillati; Actinomycetota; Actinomycetes; Micrococcales; Microbacteriaceae
Also listed under: 9 other names
Description: tRNA-Lys
Rfam family: tRNA
About the family: Transfer RNA (tRNA) molecules are approximately 80 nucleotides in length. Their secondary structure includes four short double-helical elements and three loops (D, anti-codon, and T loops). Further hydrogen bonds mediate the characteristic L-shaped molecular structure. tRNAs have two regions of fundamental functional importance: the anti-codon, which is responsible for specific mRNA codon recognition, and the 3' end, to which the tRNAs corresponding amino acid is attached (by aminoacyl-tRNA synthetases). tRNAs cope with the degeneracy of the genetic code in two manners: having more than one tRNA (with a specific anti-codon) for a particular amino acid; and 'wobble' base-pairing, i.e. permitting non-standard base-pairing at the 3rd anti-codon position.
Source: RNAcentral
GGGCCUGUAGCUCAGUCGGUAGAGCGUCGGACUUUUAAUCCGCUGGUCGUGGGUUCGAGCCCCACCGGGCCCA